CAAAUGAAGGCAUCCUGUGAGGUUUCUCAUGUGGCUCUGUCCAUAUGGCUUAUGGGAGUGCAGCACAGAAACACUGAAGCAUGGUCCUGUUCCACAGUGUUGGAGAGUUUAUUCUUUAGCCUUUGGGCUAAUAAGGGCAGCAUCUUGUAUAUUCCUACACCUUCCCAGAGCCCUUGGGUUAUGACUUGGGAGGUAAACCAUGCAAUGCAUUU
This is a small nucleolar RNA of Megalops cyprinoides (Indo-Pacific tarpon), 212 nucleotides long. RefSeq annotates it as small nucleolar RNA SNORA73 family. Lineage: Eukaryota; Metazoa; Chordata; Actinopteri; Elopiformes; Megalopidae. The record is from RefSeq and is a predicted model, not a curated record. The transcript has a single exon.